Molecule: ribosomal RNA, 425 nt
Filed under: uncultured bacterium
Lineage: Bacteria
Description: bacterial SSU rRNA
Rfam family: Bacterial small subunit ribosomal RNA
Source: RNAcentral
UGGGGAAUCUUGCCCAAUGGACGAAAGUCUGAGGCAGCGACGCCGCGUGGGGGAAGAAGGCCUUCGGGUUGUAAACCUCUUCCAGCAGGGACGAAGCCACUCGGGUGAAUAGCCCAGAGGGUGACGGUACCUGCAGAAAAAGCCCCGGCUAACUACGUGCCAGCAGCCGCGGUAAUACGUAGGGGGCAAGCGUUGUCCGGAUUUAUUGGGCGUAAAGAGCGUGUAGGCGGCCAGACAGGUCCGUUGUGAAAACUAGAGGCUUAACCUCUAGACGUCGAUGGAAACCGUCUGGUUAGAGUCCGGAAGAGGAGAAUGGAAUUCCUGGUGUAGCGGUGAAAUGCGCAGAUAUCAGGAAGAACACCCGUGGCUAAGGCGGUUCUCUAGUACGGUACUGACGCUGAGACGCGAAAGCGUGGGGAGCGAAC